GGAGAGGUGCCGGAGUGGUUGAACGGGCUCGUCUCGAAAAUGAGUAUAGCUGUGAGGCUAUCGAGGGUUCGAAUCCCUCCUUCUCCG
RNAcentral lists this transfer RNA (87 nucleotides) under Anaerolinea sp. RNAcentral describes it as "tRNA-Ser". It matches the Rfam family "tRNA". Rfam says of the family: Transfer RNA (tRNA) molecules are approximately 80 nucleotides in length. Their secondary structure includes four short double-helical elements and three loops (D, anti-codon, and T loops). Lineage: Bacteria; Bacillati; Chloroflexota; Anaerolineae; Anaerolineales; Anaerolineaceae. RNAcentral also lists the same sequence under 1 other name. The record is from RNAcentral.